Molecule: ribosomal RNA, 253 nt
Filed under: uncultured bacterium
Lineage: Bacteria
Description: partial 16S ribosomal RNA
Rfam family: Bacterial small subunit ribosomal RNA
Source: RNAcentral
UACGGAGGAUGCAAGCGUUAUCCGGAAUGAUUGGGCGUAAAGCGUCCGCAGGUGGCGAUGUAAGUCUGCUGUUAAAGAGUCUAGCUCAACUAGAUAAGAGCAGUGGAAACUACAUAGCUAGAGUACGUUCGGGGCAGAGGGAAUUCCUGGUGUAGCGGUGAAAUGCGUAGAGAUCCGGAGGAACACCAGCGGCGAAGGCGGCAUCCUGGACUGGUCCUGACACUCAGGAGCGAAAGCGUGGGGAGCGAUCCGG